GAGGGCGUAGCUCAGUGGUAGAGUGCAUGCCUUGCAUGCACGAGGUCCUGGAUUCGAUCUCCAGUCCCUCCA
RNAcentral lists this transfer RNA (72 nucleotides) under Camelus dromedarius (Arabian camel). It matches the Rfam family "tRNA". From Rfam's summary of the family: Transfer RNA (tRNA) molecules are approximately 80 nucleotides in length. Their secondary structure includes four short double-helical elements and three loops (D, anti-codon, and T loops). Lineage: Eukaryota; Metazoa; Chordata; Mammalia; Artiodactyla; Camelidae. The record is from Rfam by way of RNAcentral. RNAcentral also lists the same sequence under 1 other name.